CACGUAGGCGGAUCGUUAAGUGAGGGGUGAAAUCCCGGGGCUCAACCCCGGAACUGCCUUUCAUACUGGCGAUCUGGAGUUCGAGAGAGGUGAGUGGAAUUCCGAGUGUAGAGGUGAAAUUCGUAGAUAUUCGGAGGAACACCAGUGGCGAAGGCGGCUCACUGGCCCGAUACUGACGCUGAGGUGCGAAAGCGUGGGGAGCAAACA
RNAcentral lists this ribosomal RNA (207 nucleotides) under uncultured bacterium. RNAcentral describes it as "partial 16S ribosomal RNA". It matches the Rfam family "Bacterial small subunit ribosomal RNA", at positions 568 to 774 of the family's 1533-position model. The record is from RNAcentral.